Non-coding RNA from Trichonephila clavipes, 73 nucleotides. The record is from the annotation of a GenBank genome assembly. NCBI's taxonomy places the organism in Eukaryota, Metazoa, Arthropoda, Arachnida, Araneae, Nephilidae.
GUCCCUGUGAUGCAAUGGAUAGCAUGUUGCACUUUUAAUCCAAAGGUCAUGGAUGCGAAUACCACCUGGGAUG